RNAcentral lists this ribosomal RNA (501 nucleotides) under uncultured bacterium. Its description in RNAcentral is "partial 16S ribosomal RNA". It matches the Rfam family "Bacterial small subunit ribosomal RNA", at positions 29 to 523 of the family's 1533-position model. The record is from RNAcentral.
AUUGAACGCUGGCGGCAUGCCUUACACAUGCAAGUCGAACGGCAGCACGGGUGCUUGCACCUGGUGGCGAGUGGCGAACGGGUGAGUAAUACAUCGGAACGUACCUUAUCGUGGGGGAUAACGCAGCGAAAGCUGUGCUAAUACCGCAUACGCCCUGAGGGGGAAAGCGGGGGAUCGCAAGACCUCGCGCGAUUAGAGCGGCCGAUGCCUGAUUAGCUUGUUGGUGGGGUAAAAGCCCGCCAAGGCGACGAUCAGUAGCUGGUCUGAGAGGACGAUCAGCCACACUGGGACUGAGACACGGCCCAGACUCCUACGGGAGGCAGCAGUGGGGAAUUUUGGACAAUGGGGGCAACCCUGAUCCAGCAAUGCCGCGUGAGUGAAGAGGGCCUUCGGGUUGUAAAGCUCUUUUGUCAGGGAAGAAACACCGGCUCUAACACAGUCCGGGAAUGACGGUACCUGAAGAAUAAGCACCGGCUAACUACGUGCCAGCCGCCGCCGUAA